Molecule: ribosomal RNA, 465 nt
Filed under: Vreelandella stevensii
Lineage: Bacteria; Pseudomonadati; Pseudomonadota; Gammaproteobacteria; Oceanospirillales; Halomonadaceae
Description: partial 16S ribosomal RNA
Rfam family: Bacterial small subunit ribosomal RNA
Source: RNAcentral
CCUACGGGUGGCUGCAGUGGGGAAUAUUGGACAAUGGGGGGAACCCUGAUCCAGCCAUGCCGCGUGUGUGAAGAAGGCCCUCGGGUUGUAAAGCACUUUCAGUGAGGAAGAACGCCUGGUGGUUAAUACCCAUCAGGAAAGACAUCACUCACAGAAGAAGCACCGGCUAACUCCGUGCCAGCAGCCGCGGUAAUACGGAGGGUGCGAGCGUUAAUCGGAAUUACUGGGCGUAAAGCGCGCGUAGGUGGCUUGAUAAGCCGGUUGUGAAAGCCCCGGGCUCAACCUGGGAACGGCAUCCGGAACUGUCAAGCUAGAGUGCAGGAGAGGAAGGUAGAAUUCCCGGUGUAGCGGUGAAAUGCGUAGAGCUCGGGAGGAAUACCAGUGGCGAAGGCGGCCUUCUGGACUGACACUGACACUGAGGUGCGAAAGCGUGGGUAGCAAACAGGAUUAGAUACCCCAGUAGUC